CAGCAGCCACGGGAAUACGUAGGGUGCAAGCGUUAAUCGGAAUUACUGGGCGUAAAGCGUGCGCAGGCGGUUUUGUAAGACAGAGGUGAAAUCCCCGGGCUCAACCUGGGAACUGCCUUUGUGACUGCAAGGCUAGAGUACGGCAGAGGGGGAUGGAAUUCCGCGUGUAGCAGUGAAAUGCGUAGAUAUGCGGAGGAACACCGAUGGCGAAGGCAAUCCCCUGGGCCUGUACUGACGCUCAUGCACGAAAGCGUGGGGAGCAAACAGGAUUAGAUACCCGGGUAGUCCCUGUCUCUUAUAC
RNAcentral lists this ribosomal RNA (301 nucleotides) under uncultured bacterium. RNAcentral describes it as "partial 16S ribosomal RNA". It matches the Rfam family "Bacterial small subunit ribosomal RNA", at positions 509 to 807 of the family's 1533-position model. The record is from RNAcentral.